GGGUAUCGGUCACGCUUUUUGACGACGUAGGAAAACGGGGCCGUGCCGUGCCGUAGAGUAGGAACAGGGAGGGAGGGGGCGUGGGAUCCCAAAGGUGGUGGAAGCGGCCUCGCAGAGGGGCCGUCGAAGAGCCCGCGUCGUCCCCGCGGCGCCGUCCUACAGGGGCCGCUAGCGCGAAGUCGCACGCCGGCGCACCGACGAGGCCCCUCGGCGGCCGCGGCCGCGCGGCUCCCGGCGCAGGAGGCGGCGCGACGGCCCGUACCCGCCCCGGGACGACAGAGGGCGCGCGCCUAACGUCCCCUCCCUCCGCCGACCCAAGGAGCCGUAGACCCCUCCCGGGCGCCGCCCGCCGCCGCCCAGGACCACCAAGGCCACGCGGCGGUCGUCGCACGGGUCCGGCCCGGACGACUACCUCGUCGAGGAGCAGCCGCCGCCCGCGAGGAAGCGCUGGCCACGGCGAGGCCUUCUCCACAGAAAGUCGGGCCGGCGGGCGCUCCGCCUGCAGAGCGUCGGACUCUUUAGGCAUCCGUGGCGUCUAUUCUGAUACAAUCCUCUAUCCAGGAACUUCGAACAAAGUCCCCAUACAAUAGAUGGUGUAGGCCUAUUCCUUCUUUGACCACCACUCCUACGUGUAAAAUAAACCCUACUUGUCCGAUAUCCGUAUCGACUACCGCAACCACCAACCCGUUCGAUGCCAUAACUACGUCCAGUUAUACGAUCUCUAUAAUACAGAUUACGUCAUUGACGUUAUCUUCUUCUCGGUUUUCUAAGUUAACUAGAAUGUUCCCAUGACCUUUUCCGGGUAUCAUCGUGUUGUCACGGCCCAAGUAGCUGGCGUACAUAGUAACGAUAUUGUUUAGUCCCUUAUGUUCGUUAAUUAGAACCACUGUCACCGAAAUAUCAGUAGGCUCUACCGACGUGUAACACAUCCAGUGGACAUGUUGUUGUACUAAAGUUAAAGAGGAUGGUUGAAGUCUCACCGUUGAGCUCACUGAACGGAUUACGACGUGUCCAGAAGUUCCAUGGACAGCGCAGACCACUACAUUAACAGCGACCUUGUCUACCCAACAAACUAUUGGACAUGUUGUUACUAUAUUGUCGACAUCACCAGGUACGUUGGUCUCGACCGGACCUUGGAGUUCACUGCCGGGUCUUCUAUCGCCGCGAGCGUGCGGUCGCCCGUGUCCUGUUCUUGUCCGGCUGCGGCAAAAGCUGGCGCCGGGUUCUGCGACCCAUGGCCAUGAUACCGCCCUUCGACCUGCUGUAGUGGCAGCACCAGAGUGUACAUUUCUUCGACCUACUAAAUUAAAAACGCCCCUAAGGACGACGUCACUUCCCUUCCUCGGUUUUAAGACCACGAAGGAGGUCAACAGACGUUUUCACUGUCCUUCUGAUACUUUCUCUUGUUCGACGCCGGCACCUUGUGUCCAAUAUCGUAUGUUCGUUACCUCUCCGGCUCACAGACGGUCCAAAACAAAGCCGUAGUAGUUGCAGAAGCUAUUGAUCCAGAUUUUAUAAGUAGGACAAGGCGUGGUGCCGGCGUGGAUACUGCCAGCAGUAACCAUCAUUCUAUUUUCUCCUCAACAGCGAAACCCGCAACCGCCCACGGUUCGUAAACUCACAACAUUACGGCGCUCUCAUCUAAAAUAAAGAUCGGUGAAGCACCGGACAGAUUUGGAAGAAGAAUUAGUUACUUUACCGUUUAGAAAACGGAACAAAUUUUUUUAUUUAUUUAUGUCUCAUAUCAAAAACAUGGUAUGUAUAAGAUAUAACAUAUAUACUCGUGUAUAAAG
Molecule: ribosomal RNA, 1793 nt
Filed under: Triticum aestivum (bread wheat)
Lineage: Eukaryota; Viridiplantae; Streptophyta; Magnoliopsida; Poales; Poaceae
Description: partial small subunit ribosomal RNA
Source: RNAcentral